CUACGGGGGGCUGCAGUGGGGAAUUUUGCGCAAUGGGCGAAAGCCUGACGCAGCAACGCCGCGUGAGCGAUGAAGGUUUUCGGAUCGUAAAGCUCUGUCAGAUGGGAAGAAGAACAUGACGGUACCAUCAGAGGAAGCCCCGGCUAACUCCGUGCCAGCAGCCGCGGUAAUACGGAGGGGGCGAGCGUUGUUCGGAAUUAUUGGGCGUAAAGCGUAUGUAGGUGGUUUGACAAGUCAGACGUGUAAGCCCACGGCUCAACCGUGGAAUUGCGUUUGAAACUAUCUAACUUGAGUGCAGAAGAGGAAAGCGGAAUUUCCAGUGUAGCGGUGAAAUGCGUUGAUAUUGGGAAGAACACCUGUGGCGAAGGCGGCUUUCUGGUCUGCUACUGACACUGAGAUACGAAAGCCAGGGGAGCAAAUGGGAUUAGAUACCCUCGUAGUC
RNAcentral lists this ribosomal RNA (442 nucleotides) under uncultured bacterium. RNAcentral's name for it is "partial 16S ribosomal RNA". It matches the Rfam family "Bacterial small subunit ribosomal RNA", at positions 339 to 795 of the family's 1533-position model. The record is from RNAcentral.